UGUGUGUGGAGAAGUCUUCGUGGGUC
RNAcentral lists this non-coding RNA (26 nucleotides) under Homo sapiens (human). The record is from RNAcentral. Lineage: Eukaryota; Metazoa; Chordata; Mammalia; Primates; Hominidae.